GUAUUCCAUUUCACGUUUAUUAUGAAAGUGAUUCUAGCAAAAGUUUUAUUACAUGCUUCAUUUGGAGCUUUGACAUAUUAAACAAAGCUAUUGCUAUACAGAGGCAAAGGGAAAUGUAGAGUUAGAUAAGAUACAUUUACAACAACAUUUUCUACUACUGAAUCUGUCAGUUUUGUUAAAAUGUCGGUAAAGCUCAGACCACUGUAUUUUAUUUUCUAAGUAUCAAACUUUGUACAGUUAUUCACUAUCGUUGCUCUAACUAACAUGGUACAAUUCAUAUGGAAAUAGCUGUUUGUACAUAAUUUACAUAGGUAAUAAACCUUAGCCUCACCAGCAGCAGCUACAAGGAUUUAGUUCAAAUCAUCACUCAUGCCCAGUGAGCUAUAAACAGCAAAACAGUUCAUAAACCAGUAUUAUAUUACCAGUAAUUUCCCCCCCUGGUCUAGCCUAACAGAAGUUCCUGUUAAACAUAUAAAGGACAUAGUUGACUUUAAUCAGGCAAAAUUCUCACUGAUCUUAGUGGCAGUUUUGCCUGAUUAAGGACUCCCAGAUCAGGACCAAUGCGUAGUUUUACCACUUCCACGGCAACCAAGUCACACAGAUAUACUGUACUUUUCCUGAUCUCUGUACUAUAUUGGGCAUAAUGUUUUGAAUCUCCUUUUUGUUUCUGGACUUUAUUUUUUCCCCUUAAUCAAGCUAACGCUUACUUUAACAUACAUGUUCUUUAUGUUAUAAAAAUAGUAAGCACUUCAGAAUGGUAAUUGAUAGUCACUGCUACACAACUAGCAGGCUAUAUUGCCCGAGAAAACCUUUGUUAUGAUCCCAGGCAGACUGCAGAAAUAACAGGACUAACCAUAGAAAUGAAUCUUGCAACUGACUAAAUGCAACCCGGGCCCUGAUGUAACUUUUUAAUCAUCACAGUUUAAUAACCACUGCUGUCAAUGCAAACUAGCAGUAUUUCCAAGAUAUAAAAUGCAGAAAAACAUAUUUACAAAAUAAUUUUAAUUAAAAAAAUGUUAAAAAGAAAAACAAUAAAAAUGCUCUAAAAAGACAAGAUGUUUCUCAUUCAUUAAAAUAAAAUUUUGUUAAGCAGAGCUGUUUGUUGUUUUUCUGAAUGUGGAAGAUUAAUUAGUGAUGAGUAAUUCAGCUGUAUUUCUUAGAGUACACAUUUCUGGGUAUGCUGUGGAAGUAUAAAGCUACAGUCACCGAAUGAAAACAAUGCAAGUGUUAAAUUAAAGUUACUCCUUUACUACAGUCAUUUAAAAUACAAUGCACUGAAUAUUCCUAAAAUGCCAUAGAAUAGUACUUAUAGUUAUUGUCUUUAAAAGUAGAAUCAGUGCCAUACAUAAGCAAAAGUUGAAACCCAACUGCAAAAGUUCAUAUGUAUUUAAACUUGUUAUCUCAGCUUUCUGAAUACAGAUGGUUUAAAUUAUUACAUCGAAAGGUGCCACUGUACAUUUUUAUUGUUGUAUAUUACACAUGAAUUUUAUAGAUUAAUAACUAAUUGUAGAAACAGAAUAAAUAAAUGAAAUAGUAAACUGGAAUUGUAUAUAUUCAGAUACUUAGAUAACAAUUCUUUGCCUUAAAGAGUUAAUCUUCCUGUACAUUUCUGUUCUAAUGGAAAGUGUGAUGAUAGAGAGAGAGAGAGAGAGAGAGAGAGAGAGAGAUUUCUUUUGCAUCCAAGCCCAAAAUUGAGGAAUAAGGUCAUAUUAUUUUACAGUAAUUUCCCUUCUUCCAAAAACAAUUCUAGUGGAAGACAAAAGUCUUUCAUUUUUUUUCAAGUGCUCACAACACUCUCUCAUCCUAGAAAACUAUCUAAAUAAGUAUCAAAAGUCUCAAUGUUCUGAGAUUCUAUAGAACUUUCCCAGUUACUGACAUUCCCAUCAAAUGAUAGUUUAAACUGUGAAAGAAACAGCAGUUAGACGAAACCAUCACACUAAUAUGUGUAAUUGUAUUCAUAGGUCCGGCUCUUUAGCUCCACUGAAGUCAAUGGGAGCUUUGCCAUUGACUUCAAUGGGGUCAGGAUUUCAUCCCAGAUUUUUUUUUAAAGAGCAUUAAAAGUUAGUCAGAAUCCAGACAUCAGUAAAGUCAAAGACCAGUUGAUGUAGCAGUUCUAGUAGACUAUGAAUCACAAUGCUGCUUUCACUCUUAAAGAUUAUUUUGAAGGUAGCUAUCCACAAUAGUUAAUCCUGGUUUAUUUUUAAAAAUGGUUGAAAUAAUAAAUUCAAAUAUGCUGGGUAAAUUAACAAGGGAGCCUUUCUAGUUUGGAAGUUUAAUUUUGGAUAAUUUGCCCACAUUGGCUCAAAAUCUCUUCUUUGUAGUCCUACUUGUAUGACAUAGGACUGAAAAAUCAAUCGUGCUUAUUAGAAGCCAUCUAAUAAAUCAAACUGCAGACUCUCUGAAAACUCUGGGCCCAAUUCUCCUCUUGCUUAAGCCAGUGUAAAACAGGAAUAAAUUCACUAAGUCAGUGAAGUUACUGUGGUGUAAAAUUUGGUGUGAGAGAAGAAUCAGGGCCAGUGCCUUUUUAUAGUUCCUCUCUUCAGUAUUGUAUCAUUCUAUAUAUUAAAUUCAAAGAUUUGCAGAACAUUCUUUUGUAGCUCAUAGAAAUAGCUUUGAUCCUGUUUAAAUGUCAAGGUUUGGCAGAUAGACCUAUUUUCCAACAAUUGUCUCACCAAUGAGGGAAGAUUAGCAUCCACUGUGGCAGCUGGGAUAAAUGAACUAAAUUACUGAAGAAUUUCAUCGAUGCAGCAUAUGGCUCUCCCUCUUUCUAAGAUUCAGUGUAAGAACAGGAUGCUUUUCACUUAAAGCUCCUCAAUUCUUUCUGCCAACCCACUUCAGUUGUUAAGGACUCACUAACAGCCUUUUGGAUGUACAGUCUGUCAGCCCAUGGAGAACAGACUUUUUAAGUCAUGAUUUUCCAUGCCUAGAGAAGAUAUAUGACAGAGUUAAAUAAAAGUACAUCAUCUUCUGAUAGCACAAUCAUUCCCAUAGAAACAGAAUUAUUGGACAUAUGCAGCAGGCAUAAUGUCCAGAUCUGGAUUCAAAACUUCCUAAAGUUUGGGAAGUUCAAAUACAGGGCUUUGCUUCAGACCUGUUAGAGGGUUUGGAACGAGAGGCAUAUUCCAGAGCCAGCUUCAGAUUUAACACUUCCACAAAGUUUGCGGGUGUUCUCAUGGUUUGGGCUCAUCUCCAAUAAUUAUACUAUAGAGUGCUUUGACUUUACUCUCUGGGGCAAAACAAAACAAAACACAAAGAUAAGGCAAAAAGAGAAAAAGUGUUUUAGAGAUCGUUUGUGUACAACAGAGGGAGGAAAGUAGGGAAAGAUGGUAGGAUGAAAGAAUAUAUCAAAAGUUAAAAAUUCAGUCUUACUGAGUUAGCUCCUCAGCUGGUUUAAAUUGUCAUAACUCUAUUGAAGGCAAUACUCAGCUGAGGAUCUGGCCAAUUGAACUUAGUGCCCUGUUUCUGGCUGUGCUCAAAUGAAACCCACAUGCCUACUCCAUAACAGUUAUUAACAAUUAGUAAAUGUGAUGAUUUUGGCAUUAUUAUCAAGCAACUUCUAAUUAUUGCAGUCUACAAGAUCACAGAAAAUAUAUUCAGUGUCGUUUUUGUGGGAGAUGAAGAAUAUUUAGGGAUGAUUCAUUACCAUCUCUCUAAAACAAUAAGUGCAGAAUUUAGGGUAGGAGGAGAGAUUUAAAAAAUAAGUGCUACUGGUGUUCAGCUUUUAAACAUAAGAACAUUUUCAAAUUGAACAAAAAAAAGGUCAUUUAUGGAUAUGGAAUUAGGCCAUCGCAAAUUAAUACAGUUUUCAAUUGCCCUGUAGCAACAUGCGAAGCCAUAAAUGGGAGAUCAUUUGUCGCACUAGAUUUAGAUGCAAUAUUCUCUAUUUAGGUAAGACCUACCAUUUUUUUCACACCUGCAACCUACAAUUUUGAAUCUCUUAUUUUUUGAUAUCAUGAAGGUGCCUCUCUCAAAAAGAGGGAAGCAUUAUUAAUGUCCCUAUUUCUCCCACGUGCUUUGAGUCUCCGACGUUUGAUAGCUUAUCUCCACCUACAAAACAAGCCAUUUCUUGCUCUGCUACUGUUACUGAAUGGUGACAUGUUCUGACAAACUGCCAUAUCAGUCUGUGACUGCUGUUAAUGAAAAUACAAACAUUCACAAAUCAGAAGCCCAACUCACAUUAAUGUGGCACCGUAUUCUAUUUGAUGAAUGACAGUUUCUGCCAAUAUAAGUCACCAAACUGGUUUUUCAAAGCCCUCACACAGCUCUGAAAUUCAUACCAUACUUUUGGAUGGGGAUUUUUAAUAGCAAUUUUUACUUUUAUCAUGUAAGUGAAAUAUUAUAUGUGUUUUUAUGAAAACCAGCUUGUAUUAACAACAAGAAUCCAAAAUCUGCUAAGACAAUAUUAUCUAUCACUUGAUGCUAACUUUUUUCAUUAGAAAUUUGCACAUCUACCUGGCACAUUUCUAAGGGAAAACACAAACAUCACAUAAAAUAUAUGAUUUUCUACAUUUACAGCACAAGAAACAUUCAGUAUGUCAGCUAUAUACUUGUAAUGGCCAAAUUGUCUCUUGGUUACAGCAUAGUCAAUGAGCCAAAUUCUACCUUUAUUACCUGGGAACAAAUCAAUGAGUGUUGCAUCCAUGUAAUGGAGGGCAUCCUCAGAGCUAGGUCUGGUCUAUACUGGGGAUUGCAGCAGUUAGUGGCCAGACACCAGAGUAGGUGCAUCAGUAUAAACCUCUAGUGUAGACAAGUUAAACUGCAAUAAGCACCAGUGUAGCGUAGCCAUUUUAAGCUGGCGUAAACUGCACUAGUGCAAAUCAUAGUUUAGCUUGCUUCUGCUAGUGGUUUCCACUACUGCAGCUAUACUGUUGGCUGGCCACCAAUGGCUGUGAUCAGGGCAACUCCCUAGUGUAGACAAGCCUUUGUCCUGGCUUCAUACUAGUGUAACUGAAAGCCCUAAAGGUGUUACUGCACUGAAAAGGGAUUCCUGACCUGCAAGGGAAAUUACCUUGUGCUGUGUUGCAAAAAAGAUCAUUUGCCCUGCAGGCCAGUAAUACUUUACUGUGUUGUUGGGACCAAUCCUGCGAGUUGCUGAAUGAGAGUUUUAGGUGCCAUAUAGUCUGCAUGAGACAUUCAGUACUGCGUAGCAUUAGAUCCAGACUUAUUUCCUUAAAUUGAGAAAUGCAGUUUGAAAGUUCAGAGAACAAUGUGAAGCCUUCAGGAAAUCAUGGUGUUAUUUCAUUUCUUUAAAUUGUGUGUCUUCUUUUGAGAAUUUCAGUCAGUUUUCCAAUAUCUUUAAAUUGGAUUGUGGUAAUCAUGACCAAUUCAGCCAUUCUGGAUAAUCUCUGGAACACCUUUGCAAUGUUCACAUCACUCUGAAAUACUAGGUUUCUUUCUAGUUGUCUUUGAGCAUUCAGAUUUAUGCAUGCAUAUUUGUGAUCUACAUAGCUUCUUGUAUGAUCCACUGCACUUUAUUGUACAAACUAUGUAUAAUUAUAAGUAUUUCUGCUAGCUCCCCCACCCCUACAUUUAGCAAAUGGUUUUCCAUUCUACAAACGCACUAGGCCUAGCACGGAUCAUACAUCCCUUGGGACACCCAUCCUUGGACUCCUACUAGGCAAUAGUGAUCAUUUAAAAAAUUAAGUUCCCCACCCUUGAGGAAGAGAUCUUAUAAAAGUUAGCACAGUGACAUUCAAUUCUGAAAGGAGAAUUUUCCUUAAAAAGGAGGAAGCUACUCAAAAAGACCCUUUAAUUAAAAAUGAAGAACUUAAAAUCAGUCUGGAGACUAUUUCAGCACACUAUAACAGAACAAACAGGAAAGAAGGCAACUCCCCUCUCCCUCAAAUGGCUAAAUGGCCAGAUUAAAAAUGGGAUUCAAACCAAACAGGUAUCUUUCAGGAAAUGGCAAUCCAGCUCAGCUGUAGCCAGGAGAAAGGAACAGAGACUAUUGCUGAUAAAAUGUAAAUUGGAAAUUAAGAAAGCCAAAUGGGAGUUUGAAGAGUAAUUAGCCAGACAUAAAAAUAUAUGCAUAUAAAUUAGUGCAAAACAUCUUUAAAGUAUAUAUCAGAAGCACGAAGUCUUUGAGAGAAUUCAUAGGUCUUUUGGAUUACCAGGGAGAUAAGGGAGCAGCAGAAGAGCAAAGUUAAAUGAUGUAUUUGCCACAGUCUUCACCACAAGAGAUGUUGGGGUGAUGCCUACUCUCCUUAGAUAAUAAAAAUGAGGGACAAAGGGCAGGGUGGUGAACCUCCCUGGUAAAUGAAACAAAUCACCCCAGGUGGCACCCAUCCAAGAGUUCUGAAGAAACUGAAAAAUGAAGUGGCUAUGGAGAUAACAAAAAUAUACAAUCUCUCAUUGAAAUCUACUGUUACGUCAGCGAACUGAUGGAGAUGACAGGAUUCUUGCACCUUCUUGUUGCUGUCAGAAGAUGGCCACUAAUCUGACUUACUAUGGCAAUUUCUUAUGUUCAUAUGAAGCUAAUGGGUGUUUUAGAUGUGAAUCUGCUACUCAAGUAAGUGGGAGUUUUGGGGGCCCAAGGCAUGCAGGAUCCAGCUACUAGUGUAUAUUUAAUUAAUUUAAAAUAUUUAAAA
This is a long non-coding RNA of Dermochelys coriacea (leatherback sea turtle), 6587 nucleotides long. RefSeq lists it as uncharacterized. The record is from RefSeq and is a predicted model, not a curated record. The transcript is spliced from 2 exons. Lineage: Eukaryota; Metazoa; Chordata; Testudines; Dermochelyidae.